RNAcentral lists this unclassified non-coding RNA (3661 nucleotides) under Melitaea cinxia (Glanville fritillary). Its description in RNAcentral is "misc RNA ENSMCXG00005009624.1". Lineage: Eukaryota; Metazoa; Arthropoda; Insecta; Lepidoptera; Nymphalidae. The record is from RNAcentral.
UUUUAGUUGAUUUUUUGAACUAUGUUUAGUAAUUGUCUGAGCAGCAAAUCGGUUGGUUUCCAUAGCUAUAUCAUGAAACACACUAUCCGGAACUAACAAACAAUAGAAAUCCUCUGGUUUGGAUUUUGCCAUCGUAUUUCUCAAACUAUAAGGUUUCAAAUCAGGGCACUCUGUGAAAGGUAUAAUUCUUCUUUGCUUACCCGCUGGUUCAUACCAUAAAUCGGUCUCAAGCCUUGUGCUAACCUGCUGUUCUGGGUUUUCUUCUUCGUCACCACUUUCUAUCACAUACCGUCUCUUCCUGUUUCCUCGACUAUGAAAAAUUACUUCUGUAUCGUCACAAUUUUCACUACAACAUGGAAUUUCUAACAGCGGGGAAUCUCUUUGAGUCAGUUGUUUUUCUAGUUCGUCAAUUGCUUGCAGAUCUACCAACGAUAAUUCAAAAUCACACGUAUUAUCAAUAAUGGACAUGAUUACAAUAGCUAUCGUCACACAAAAUCUCCAAAAACACAAAAAAAAGCAAUGGAUGCGCGCACUUACUUCCGCAGCUAAUUCGAAGCGACUACUAAAUAAACACUGUAGGUACAUCGCAUGGCUCGCGCCGGACUGGUUGCAACCUGCAAGGAAUGAACUACGACACGCGUAGGUACUUUUGUUCAAACGGCCGAACGCCGCACCGAGUGAUUUCCCGCGCAAAUAAAUUGGCGGCCGGCGGACGGUGCUUGACAAAAUGCUUGACAUGGCCCAAUGGCUAUGCACAUAUGCCAGUCAUUUUAUUUUUUGCUUUAUUUUACAUUAUAAUCACCGGAAACCAAUUAAAAUAGUCAUAUAAUGUGAUUUACUUGAACAUACAAUCAAAAAACAAAAAUAAAAAAAAAACAACAAAAAUCAAUUCAAAAUUUUACUAUGGCAGUUAACGUGUUAACGUGUUAAUAUGUAAUAAUGCAAUUGUGAUGUACAACAAAAUGUUAAUAAAUAAAUUUCCAAAAAAUAAUAUUACAUUCAUACUUGUUCUAAAAAAAUAGCUUAUUUAAUUUUAUUAAGCUAUUGUUGUUUAGAUAAUUGUCAAAUGUCUUAGGGGAAAUUGUUGUAAAGUAAAGUGACUUGUUUUGAAAAUUACCUCCUAAAUGUUUUCUGUCUCAAAAACAACAAUUAUGAAUGCCUUUGAUCAUGUUAGUAUUCAUGGACUGUUCUGAUUGCAACUGAAUGCGUGAACGUUUUUAUAAAAAAAAUAUAGACAUCAAGUAAUGUACAGAGUUCAUUAAAUUUAGAUAGUUGUAUACAUUUUUCUAAUACGAAAUUACGGUGGGUUUCAAUUGUAAAAUUAGUUUGCUAAACGUGUAAAUUUAGAUUCUUUAUUACAUAAUGCGCUAACAAUGUACAACGUAAAUAAUACAAAGUUUUAAGAAAUGUUUGUGUAACAUACUGAAUCAAUAUUAUUUUGUAAAUCAUACAUGUGUAAUCAAAGGAUACAAUUUAAUGUAACUUAACGUAUUAUACUGGUUUUGUUUUCGUAAUUAUUUCUGUGAUCUAUUGUUGCGAUUAAUAUUAAAAUAUCUAUUGACAAUAAAAAAGCAGUGAAAAAGGCAUCUUUAACUCAACAGACACCAAUUUUAUUGCUUUGAGUUUUUUUUAAGAAUACAUAGUUUUAGUAACCUUUACACAAUAUUGAACUGAAGUUUCUGUGAAAAAAUAUACAAUAAAUGUGCAAGUUGUGAUAAAUAUUUUUUUUUAAAAUAUUUUAAAUACAAAUAAACAGACAAUUGUAAUUAAAAUGUCAUUUAAUUUUUAUAACUAUGAAAGACCUUCCUGCGUUCAUAUCCCCCAACUCUUUAUUUCAAAAAUAAUUUGAUUAUUGUUUAUUCUUGAAAUGAAGUUAAAAAAAAAAAAAAAAAAAACGACGAACGAAUUGAAUCCAUUGCAAUAAAAGUAAUGUGCUUUUAAUUUACUUACGAAACACGAAAAUUUAUUUGUAAAAGUUUCAUGUACAAACAUGACCUCAUAUUAUUAAUAAUAUAAAAUUAAUAGAAAAUACUACUUUAGUUUUGUAGUUAGUUAACACACACACAUAUGUGUGUGUGAAUACAUAGAAAAUAAUUUUUAUGACGUGCAUUGAUUAUCGAAUACACAUUUAGAUGUAGUUGAUCGUUUUCAAUUUUUGUAUUUUUUUAGACCGAUGCAAGGUUGAUAGCUACAUAUGUGUAUACAGAAAUUGUGAUAUAAUAUAAAAUGUAUAUAAAUGUGAUAUGAUAAUUUAAUAUAGUUUAUAAAAAAUAUUAUUUGCGUUUAUGUAGCUAUAUGUAAAUUACCUACUUCAUAUUUAAAAAAAAAAUUAAUUUCAUAAAAUUGUUUUUCUUACAGGCAGAUCUAGGCUUCAAUAUUUUAAUGGGCUGGUUAUUUAAAUGAUGAUUACAUAUGAUUUGUUAUGAUAAAAUCCGUUUUUAUGACUACAUAAAUUAUGUCGUUAUUAAUAUAUUACUAUUUGGUUUAUAAAUAGAUAUGAAAUUUAUUAAUGUUAUUGGAGUAGAAUUAAAAAAAUCUUUGAGUCAAGAUAUUUCAAGGGUUUUAUUUGUAAAAAAAAUUCAUGUCUAGGUUUUUUAUCUUUCGGAGAUCCUUACGAUCAUAUAACAUUGAUAAUUAUUGUUACGCUUGGGUCGGAAAUACUCCACCAAUACACAUCGGAGUGGUGUGGUGGAUUAAGCACAAACUCUCUCGUAUAAGAGGGUGAGGCCUUCACUUGGCAGGUCCACAUAUCAUUAUGUAUAUUGUUUCUUGUCAUGAAAUAAUAACACUUGUAUACAUUGGUUUUUUCUUCAAUAUGAUUUACAAUCCAAUAGUGAUUGCUUAUCCGCCUAACCGCAUUAGGCUAGCGUGGCGGAUUAGUCUGAUCUUUAUUAUAUUAUAUAAACUUAAUAACUUUCAACAACUAUAUUAAAUUAUCAUAGUAAUUGUUGUCAGUAAUAAUUUUAUAAUUUAAUGUCUGCGAGCCUAGACAAUAUUAUGUAGCGAAUUACGAUUGAUGCCUUUAUUCGUAAUUAGCUAUAUCAUUUUUUUUAGAACUAAAGUAAUUUAAGUACAAAAUGUGGACACUGAAGACACAUUGUGUAAUGCUUAAAGCUACGUGUUGAAAUGUAAAAAGUAUUAUUUUUUAUGUAAAAAUAAUUAAUAAUAAAAAAUAUGUCGGAAAUACUUUGUGUGUUUUCUUGAAGCGGAGUCUCUUGUGCGUAGGCUUGAGGGUUAGACGCAGGAUCUUAAAAUUUUACUGUGGACGCGUUUAUAUAAUUCAGCAGUGUUUAAGCUAAGAGUUCUACGACAAAUUUUACUUAUUGUUUUGUAUAAUUUAAAUGCGUUACGUAUGAUUUAAAUAAAGUAAUAUUUUCAUAUAAAAUACAUAAUGUUUCAUAAUGAAUACUAAAUAAUAAUGGCGUACAUUAUAUAUUUUAUAAUACCAUAAAAAGUACGUCAUACCUAAAUGAAAACCUAUGUAAAUAUCAAUAGUAUACCAUUUAUCAUAAAUGUUAGCUGGUAGAGAAUACUUUUAGCGUUAAGCCCGCCUUUUGUACAAGUCUUUAAUGUAUUGUGCAAUAAAGUAGUAAUAAAUAAUUAAACAAAUAUACUAUGUUAUAGUUUUAAAGUUUCUAAUAAUAAAUAUAGCUCAAACAAA